This 47-nucleotide transfer RNA is filed under the name Veitchia arecina. RNAcentral's name for it is "partial transfer RNA-Phe". The record is from RNAcentral. Lineage: Eukaryota; Viridiplantae; Streptophyta; Magnoliopsida; Arecales; Arecaceae.
CACGGGAAAUGGUCGGCAUAGCUCAGUUGGUAGAGCAGAGGACUGAG